RNAcentral lists this unclassified non-coding RNA (202 nucleotides) under Hevea brasiliensis (rubber tree). The record is from RNAcentral. Lineage: Eukaryota; Viridiplantae; Streptophyta; Magnoliopsida; Malpighiales; Euphorbiaceae.
GCCUGAUUCAAGCAAAGCCUCCAAUGUUUGCUUAGAAAUUGACUUGUCAUAAGUUCGUGACCUUAGAGCUCCAUAGAAGUCCAGAGCUUGAUUAGGAAAUGUGUUUACAAUGCUUAUAACCUCAUCUCUAGAUACGCCAUCCUUUUCAUACAUUCUGUGAACAAUGUUCACAAUAUCUUCACGGUCAGGUUGCCAGUAAAAU